RNAcentral lists this ribosomal RNA (579 nucleotides) under uncultured bacterium. RNAcentral describes it as "partial 16S ribosomal RNA". It matches the Rfam family "Bacterial small subunit ribosomal RNA", at positions 355 to 925 of the family's 1533-position model. The record is from RNAcentral.
UGGGGAAUAUUGGACAAUGGGCGCAAGCCUGAUCCAGCCAUGCCGCGUGUGUGAAGAAGGCCUUCGGGUUGUAAAGCACUUUUGUCCGGAAAGAAAUCCUGUCGGCUAAUACCCGGCGGGGAUGACGGUACCGGAAGAAUAAGCACCGGCUAACUUCGUGCCAGCAGCCGCGGUAAUACGAAGGGUGCAAGCGUUACUCGGAAUUACUGGGCGUAAAGCGUGCGUAGGUGGUUUGUUAAGUCUGAUGUGAAAGCCCUGGGCUCAACCUGGGAACUGCAUUGGAUACUGGCUUACUAGAGUGCGGUAGAGGGUGGCGGAAUUCCCGGUGUAGCAGUGAAAUGCGUAGAUAUCGGGAGGAACAUCCGUGGCGAAGGCGGCCACCUGGACCAGCACUGACACUGAGGCACGAAAGCGUGGGGAGCAAACAGGAUUAGAUACCCUGGUAGUCCACGCCCUAAACGAUGCGAACUGGAUGUUGGGAGCAACUAGGCUCUCAGUAUCGAAGCUAACGCGUUAAGUUCGCCGCCUGGGAAGUACGGUCGCAAGACUGAAACUCAAAUGAAUUGACGGGGUCAUAGC